UGGCGGACGGGUGAGUAAUGCUUAGGAAUCUGCCUAUUAGUGGGGGACAACAUCUCGAAAGGGAUGCUAAUACCGCAUACGUCCUACGGGAGAAAGCAGGGGACCUUCGGGCCUUGCGCUAAUAGAUGAGCCUAAGUCGGAUUAGCUAGUUGGUGGGGUAAAGGCCUACCAAGGCGACGAUCUGUAGCGGGUCUGAGAGGAUGAUCCGCCACACUGGGACUGAGACACGGCCCAGACUCCUACGGGAGGCAGCAGUGGGGAAUAUUGGACAAUGGGGGGAACCCUGAUCCAGCCAUGCCGCGUGUGUGAAGAAGGCCUUUUGGUUGUAAAGCACUUUAAGCGAGGAGGAGGCUACCGAGAUUAAUACUCUUGGAUAGUGGACGUUACUCGCAGAAUAAGCACCGGCUAACUCUGUGCCAGCAGCCGCGGUAAU
This 433-nucleotide ribosomal RNA is filed under the name uncultured bacterium. Its description in RNAcentral is "bacterial SSU rRNA". It matches the Rfam family "Bacterial small subunit ribosomal RNA", at positions 96 to 524 of the family's 1533-position model. The record is from RNAcentral.